RNAcentral lists this small RNA (184 nucleotides) under Mytilus galloprovincialis (Mediterranean mussel). The record is from RNAcentral. Lineage: Eukaryota; Metazoa; Mollusca; Bivalvia; Mytilida; Mytilidae.
CUGGUUGUUCUACCAAUCUUCUUAAACUUUAUACACUGUUGUAAUUGUCAACUGCUAACUUUUGACAUCUUCACCUGCUAACUUUUGACAUGUUAUUUUGCCUAUGGGCAAAUAUAUGUCAAAACUUAGCAGUUAAUGAUUACAAUGGUGUAUAAAGUUUAAGAAGAUUGGUAGAACAACCCUU